GGACCCGCACAAGCGGUGGAACAUGUGGUUCAAUUCGAUGCUACGCGAAAAACCUCACCAGGGUUUGACAUACAGGAAGUAGUGAACUGAAAAGGGAUCGACCUGUCAAAUCAGGAGCCUGAACAGGUGCUGCAUGGCUGUCGUCAGCUCGUGUCGUGAGAUGUUGGGUUAAGUCCCGCAACGAGCGCAACCAUUAUCUUUAGUUGCUACCUGUAUUCAACGUAAGUUGGGUGCAGGGCACUCUAAAGAGACUGCCUGGGUUAACCAGGAGGAAGGUGGAGAUGACGUCAAGUCAGUACGGCCUUUAUGCCCUGGGCUACACACGUGUUACAAUGGCCAGUACAAAGGGUUGCCAACCCGCAAGGGGGAGCUAAUCUCAAAAAAUUGGCCUCAGUUCGGAUUGAAGUCUGCAAUUCGACUUCAUGAAGCCGGAAUCGCUAGUAAUGGCAGAUCAGCACGCUGCCGUGAAUACGUUCCCGGGUCUU
This 485-nucleotide ribosomal RNA is filed under the name uncultured bacterium. RNAcentral's name for it is "bacterial SSU rRNA". It matches the Rfam family "Bacterial small subunit ribosomal RNA", at positions 917 to 1382 of the family's 1533-position model. The record is from RNAcentral.